UGGUGCUAUGACACAUAGGCUGCGU
This 25-nucleotide non-coding RNA is filed under the name Mus musculus (house mouse). Lineage: Eukaryota; Metazoa; Chordata; Mammalia; Rodentia; Muridae. The record is from RNAcentral.